Physcomitrium patens is the source of this 1277-nucleotide non-coding RNA. The record is from RefSeq and is a predicted model, not a curated record. NCBI's taxonomy places the organism in Eukaryota, Viridiplantae, Streptophyta, Bryopsida, Funariales, Funariaceae.
ACACCUGAGUCAUCUGUUACAUAAUUUUACGCCACGGUACGCGUACAGGGCAACGGUUGCGGCACCAGCAACACAUGUUGAAUGCGAACGCACGCAUGAAUAGCAAUAGAUUUUGAGAGCUGGACCUUAGCAGAAUUCAUUGGACACAAGUUCAAGCCAUCCAAACUGCUCAGUUACAGGAGGUGAAGAAUUGCACCAGUACGUGUAAGACAAUCAGUUUUCUGAGGUUCAUAUUCUCUGGGGGGGGGGGGGUCAUGUCAGUUGGAUAACCGUCGAAACGUACCAAACUAAGAACAAAAUGGCGACGACGAUGGAGUUAGCUGCGAGAAUUUUCAUGCUUGUGUCACUUGCUCUGUGUGUGCAUGCUGCACAAGACUUACAGGAAGCCACUAGUAUCGAGGUGCCUCCGGGAUACAGGUUAGCUAUAACGCUGAGCGGGAAGGGAUAUCAACACUAUCGAUUUAACGGCACGGACUGGGUGAAUUUCAAAGCGAGAGCGAGGCUGUACAAUUGUGAUAAGAAACAGAUUGGACGUCAUUUCUACCUGCCGCAUCCAGAUGCUCUCGGCGGCCAACCCACCUGGGAGACGAUUCCUUCCAAGGGUGUUCCUUACAGCAUCGUGACAUGAAAACCAGUGGCGAAAACCACAAUCUCCAAGGGCUCCAUCCCCUGGGUUCUGCUCCAAGCCACGUCCUCUCAAUACGACAAAAGGUAUUUCGGAGCCGUGCGUUAUGUGCAACGAUUAAACACCAUGGGAGGAAUCGCACCCAGCAUCAAACUGAGCGCUCCCAAGGGGCGCGUCAGGAGGGCGCCCUACACCGCCGACUACGCCUUCUACGUUAAACAAUAGCUUGUCAGGAAGCUCAGAAACUCCAUCUUCACACCAGAUGUUGUUCUUAGUUUUCGCAGUGGCAGUUUCUACCUAAGGGUCUAUUGGACUCACACAUGAGCGUGAACUGGGCAUGGGUGGGAGUGCUCGCUAGUUCGGCAUCAGUCCAUCACCAAACUAGAAAGUGGUGAGAAACUCUGCUUCGUUGAUACAAACAAUUUUUUAGCAAAGUUGCUUUGCUAAUCAACAGAUUUCUGUGCAGAAAGACAACUCUGAUCUGCGAGUUUUCUCUGUGAGGGGCAACACUAUUUAUGCUAUUUAGAAAAAAAAUACAAUUUUUCUCGUUUUUUACUCUUAGGACCUUUAGGCUUAUUUUUUUGAAGUAUAAAGCUAAUUCGAGGACGCUUUUUGAUUUGAAUAAAUCAAAAAAUUUAAAAGUUUGAGGCCA